This 305-nucleotide ribosomal RNA is filed under the name uncultured bacterium. RNAcentral describes it as "bacterial SSU rRNA". It matches the Rfam family "Bacterial small subunit ribosomal RNA", at positions 338 to 641 of the family's 1533-position model. The record is from RNAcentral.
CCUACGGGGGGCAGCAGUGGGGAAUAUUGCACAAUGGGGGAAACCCUGAUGCAGCGACGCCGCGUGAGGGAGGAAGGUACAGAGUAUCGUAAACCUCUUUUGUCAGGGAACAAAGGCGGGGACGUGUCCCCGGAUGAGUGUACCUGAAGAAAAAGCAUCGGCUAACUCCGUGCCAGCAGCCGCGGUAAUACGUAGGUGGCGAGCGUUAUCCGGAAUGAUUGGGCGUAAAGGGUGCGUAGGCGGCCUGCUAAGUCUGGAGUGAAAGGUACCGGCUCAACCGGUACAGGCUCUGGAAACUGGCGGGG